CCUACGGGAGGCAGCAGUAGGGAAUAUUGCUCAAUGGGGGAAACCCUGAAGCAGCAACGCCGCGUGGAGGAUGAAGGUUUUCGGAUUGUAAACUCCUUUUGUUAGAGAAGAUAAUGACGGUAUCUAACGAAUAAGCACCGGCUAACUCCGUGCCAGCAGCCGCGGUAAUACGGAGGGUGCAAGCGUUACUCGGAAUCACUGGGCGUAAAGAGCGCGUAGGCGGGAUAGCAAGUCAGAUGUGAAAUUCUAGGGCUUAACCAUAGAACUGCAUUUGAAACUGUUAUUCUAGAGUAUGGGAGAGGUAGGUGGAAUUCUUGGUGUAGGGGUAAAAUCCGUAGAGAUCAAGAGGAAUACUCAUUGCGAAGGCGACCUGCUAGAACAUAACUGACGCUGAUGCGCGAAAGCGUGGGGAGCAAACAGGAUUAGAUACCCGUGUAGUC
This 440-nucleotide ribosomal RNA is filed under the name uncultured bacterium. Its description in RNAcentral is "partial 16S ribosomal RNA". It matches the Rfam family "Bacterial small subunit ribosomal RNA", at positions 338 to 795 of the family's 1533-position model. The record is from RNAcentral.